RNAcentral lists this ribosomal RNA (253 nucleotides) under uncultured bacterium. RNAcentral's name for it is "partial 16S ribosomal RNA". It matches the Rfam family "Bacterial small subunit ribosomal RNA", at positions 524 to 776 of the family's 1533-position model. The record is from RNAcentral.
UACGUAGGCAGCAAGCGUUGUUCGGAGUUACUGGGCGUAAAGGGUGUGUAGGCGGUUCUUUAAGUUUGGUGUGAAAUCUCCCGGCUCAACUGGGAGGGUGCGCCGAAUACUGAGGGACUAGAGUACGGGAGAGGAAAGUGGAAUUCCGGGUGUAGUGGUGAAAUGCGUAGAGAUCCGGAGGAACACCAGUGGCGAAGGCGACACGCUGGGCCGUACCUGACACUGAUACGCGACAGCAUGGGGAGCGAACGGG